AUUGAACGCUGGCGGCAGGCUUAACACAUGCAAGUCGAGCGGGGGAAGGUAGCUUGCUACCGGACCUAGCGGCGGACGGGUGAGUAAUGCUUAGGAAUCUGCCUAUUAGUGGGGGACAACAUCUCGAAAGGGAUGCUAAUACCGCAUACGUCCUACGGGAGAAAGCAGGGGAUCUUCGGACCUUGCGCUAAUAGAUGAGCCUAAGUAGGAUUAGCUAGUUGGUGGGGUAAAGGCCUACCAAGGCGACGAUCUGUAGCGGGCCUGAGAGGAUGAUCCGCCACACUGGGACUGAGACAUGGCCCAGACUCCUACGGGAGGCAGCAGUGGGGAAUAUUGGACAAUGGGGGGAACCCUGAUCCAGCCAUGCCGCGUGUGUGAAGAAGGCCUUAUGGUUGUAAAGCACUUUAAGCGAGGAGGGGGCUACUUUAGUUAAUACCUAGAGAUAGUGGACGUUACUCGCAGAAUAAGCACCGGCUAACUCUGUGCCAGCAGCCGCGGUAA
This 501-nucleotide ribosomal RNA is filed under the name uncultured bacterium. RNAcentral describes it as "partial 16S ribosomal RNA". It matches the Rfam family "Bacterial small subunit ribosomal RNA", at positions 30 to 523 of the family's 1533-position model. The record is from RNAcentral.